Long non-coding RNA from Hyla sarda, 479 nucleotides. RefSeq lists it as uncharacterized. Lineage: Eukaryota; Metazoa; Chordata; Amphibia; Anura; Hylidae. The transcript has 3 exons. The record is from RefSeq and is a predicted model, not a curated record.
CUGAGCGCCCUGCAGCAUGUCUGGUACCGGAGAUGUCCGUUAAAGCAGAUGUAGCGUAGUCGGCUGGCUGAAGCCUAGCGGUGAGUGAGCGCUGCUGUGGCACGGAACGAGCACUUGGCAGGCAUUUAUCAAGAGGCCGCUCGUAUAUUUACAUGCAAUGCUUGGAAGCCCUGACACUGAUAGAUUGACGCAGCAGGGCUUCGAUAUAUGCUGGCACAUCGACUCUUCAUAACUGUGUCAGAUACUUUACACCUGGCACAUGUACUGGAAAUGGCAUUUCCCAAUGAGUUCCAUCAGCAGUGUGUUUGAUCACAGAGUUCACCUUUGGACACAGAAUAAAGCCCCACUAGACAGACAGCAGAUGGAGUAUGUUUCUAGGAUGUAAGCAGUUUGAUGGAUGAGGUGAACUGAUAAGGAAAGGAAAGAGAAGAUUAACAAUGAAGGAAUCUGAGAGCUCUCCCGGCUUGGUAAUCAAUGUU